AGUUGAUGAGGUUCUGGAACUACCUGGGAACAAAGUUGAUGAGGUUCUGGUACUAACCUGGGAACCAUGUUGAUGAGUUUCUGGCACUAAUCUGGGAACCAUGUUGAUGAGGUUCUGGCACUAACCUGGGAACCAUGUUGAUGAGGUUCUGGAACUAACCUGGGAACCAAGUUGAUGAGGUUCUGGAACUAACCUGGGAACCAAGUUGAUGAGGUUCUGGAACUAACCUGGGAACCAUGUUGAUGAGGUUCUG
Salvelinus sp. IW2-2015 is the source of this 253-nucleotide non-coding RNA. NCBI's taxonomy places the organism in Eukaryota, Metazoa, Chordata, Actinopteri, Salmoniformes, Salmonidae. The record is from RefSeq and is a predicted model, not a curated record.